GCGAGCGUUGCCAAGUGGUUAAGGCAGUGGGUUGUGGUUCCUCUAUGCGCGGGUUCGAUCCCCGUCGUUCGCC
This 73-nucleotide transfer RNA is filed under the name Synura uvella. Its description in RNAcentral is "tRNA-His". It matches the Rfam family "tRNA". Rfam says of the family: Transfer RNA (tRNA) molecules are approximately 80 nucleotides in length. Their secondary structure includes four short double-helical elements and three loops (D, anti-codon, and T loops). Further hydrogen bonds mediate the characteristic L-shaped molecular structure. tRNAs have two regions of fundamental functional importance: the anti-codon, which is responsible for specific mRNA codon recognition, and the 3' end, to which the tRNAs corresponding amino acid is attached (by aminoacyl-tRNA synthetases). tRNAs cope with the degeneracy of the genetic code in two manners: having more than one tRNA (with a specific anti-codon) for a particular amino acid; and 'wobble' base-pairing, i.e. permitting non-standard base-pairing at the 3rd anti-codon position. The record is from RNAcentral. Lineage: Eukaryota; Synurophyceae; Synurales; Mallomonadaceae.